GUGGGGGGACGACCCCCCACACCCCCCGAUUCGCUCCGCUCAACCAAUCACUGUGGGGGGACGACCCCC
RNAcentral lists this non-coding RNA (69 nucleotides) under Actinomadura madurae. Its description in RNAcentral is "Guanidine-II sequence". It matches the Rfam family "Guanidine-II riboswitch aptamer (mini-ykkC)". Rfam says of the family: Simpler in structure and has fewer highly conserved nucleotide positions than the ykkC-yxkD leader. The record is from RNAcentral. Lineage: Bacteria; Bacillati; Actinomycetota; Actinomycetes; Streptosporangiales; Thermomonosporaceae.